This 230-nucleotide ribosomal RNA is filed under the name uncultured bacterium. RNAcentral's name for it is "partial 16S ribosomal RNA". It matches the Rfam family "Bacterial small subunit ribosomal RNA", at positions 102 to 334 of the family's 1533-position model. The record is from RNAcentral.
ACGGGUGAGUAACGCGUAUCCAACCUGCCGUCUACUCUUGGACAGCUCUGAAAGGAAGAUUAAUACAAGAUGGCAUCAUGAGUCCGCAUGUUCACAUGAUUAAAGGUAUUCCGGUAGACGAUGGGGAUGCGUUCCAUUAGAUAGUAGGCGGGGUAACGGCCCACCUAGUCUUCGAUGGAUAGGGGUUCUGAGAGGAAGGUCCCCCACAUUGGAACUGAGACACGGUCCAA